This 2396-nucleotide unclassified non-coding RNA is filed under the name Haliotis rufescens (red abalone). RNAcentral describes it as "uncharacterized LOC124111943, transcript variant X5". The record is from RNAcentral. Lineage: Eukaryota; Metazoa; Mollusca; Gastropoda; Lepetellida; Haliotidae.
AUUGAUAACACCUUAUAUAUCAAACGGGAUUGUUUUGUUUUUAUGUUUUAAGCGAUUCGCAAAGAAUCAUCAUGGCGGCAAAAGUUUGUGUUUUGAACAUGCUGUUUGAGAGUUAUUGAUUUUUCGUCUUCCAAAUCGUGACAUUCAACUGACAAUGCAAUAGCACUAUCCACCAUGGUGGAUCUACUGGAGGACUUUCUGUGUGGGAGAUACAGGAAAUGUGUCCAGUACCUGGCGGGGUGUGAAGAUGGCAAGUUCCAGCCAUCACAAGUACAAGUACAGUCCAACAAGGCUGUCUGCCAGCUUCUCAUGACUCUGUCCAGUUCCCCAGCGGAUGUUGACAAGACUCUGAGGACUUCUCUCAACAAGCUGGAAAAUUAUCUUACCCAAAUACAGAGUUUCCCGCCCGAGAUGGUAACCAUGGAGACAGAGAUGACGAUCGUGUACAACAGUGUCUACCUGACUCUGCUGCUUCACUCUCGCUGCAGCGGCAGUGACGACCAGACGGUGUUGUCCCAGUGUGGGGCUGCAUACAGCAACAGUCUGGCCAGAGUGUUGGCAGCAGUAAAGCACUUCCCAUGUCCCAGUACACCUGCUGAUUCCCCGGACCAAGCCGUCAUGUCAUGUAACGUCAUGUCAUGUCAUGUUUCAGUGUUGGCAGCAGUAAAGCACUUCCCAUGCCCCAGUACACCUGCUCAUUCCCCGGACCAAGCCGUCAUGUCACAAUUACAUCAUCUUCUCCAGUACUCCCAGAUUCUACAAGUGUAUGGGGUCACAUCCCCCCUCUGUGCUGCUGGUUGUGCGUGGUCCUGUCUGUUGAUGCUUGCCCAGAAGGAGAAAGAAGCUGUGACGUGCCUGGAGUCUCUCACACAGAUGUUGGCCCAGACAGGAGAUGCAUCACAGAUGACAGUGAGUUCUGUUGGACUGCGACUCUGUGUGUCGGUGCACGGAGACGGGGUACAGCAGCGAGCCAGGAACAUGGAGACCCUGUCUGCCCCGGACCUCGUGGGGCUCCUGAAGGGGCUGUGUCACUACAAGCUGGCCCAGUGGGGGCCGAGUAGGGAGUGCCUGACAAGGCUACAUAGUGACAGCCUACUGCCUAGUGUGACAUACAUCAUAGGCCUGUGUUACCUGAAGGAGGGUAAGGCUGAUGACUGCAUCUCUGUCCUGGACUCCGCCAGACACCGGACCUCCUCAAGUCCUGCAUCCAGGGCCAGGACACUCCACCUGAUGGGCCAGUGCUAUGCUCACAAGGGUCUGCAUCAUUGUGCAGUUCUGAUGUUCCGAGAGUCCUUACAGGAGGAUUUCAACUUUCCCUUAGCUCUGUUCCACAUCUCAGAGCAGUACAGGCAGCUAGGCCUGGAGGAUGCUGAACUAGAGUCGCUGAACCUCCUCACUACAAUCCUGGAGGACAGUUCAGUGAAGGAUCUUACACCACGUCCAGUGUCCCUGUCAUCCUUGUGGACAUCGGACCUCUUCCAACAUGUGUGUCCUGCUCCCACCAUCUCCCUCCACCAGUCCCUCUACACCCUGGCACACAGGUGUCUGCAGCUACACAGGUAUGAAGACGGUUCCCAGAGGUACCUGGACUUGUUGGCUGCUCUGUCUGAAGCUUCCCACCUGACACAGAUAGACGAUGUUUCUACCCGUGUGGUAGAUCUACCACAUAUCAGAACAAUCUACAAGGAAACUGUAGAAUGCCUCCUCCAUGCUGGCCACUAUGAAGACUGUGUCAUUGUCUGUGACAAGGCCCUAGAGUCUAUCCGUCUGACCCUCAACCCGUCUGCUACCUCAUUUGGAGCAGACAAUAUCAGCAGUCUCCUUGGUCCAGACGACAGUGAAGAUCUCUCACAAACCAUUAGCACCAACUCCAGAAAGAGGCCAAGAUCUUCCUCCUGUGACCUCUCUCUGGCCAAUCAGAAUGAAGAUGACUGGCAAGAUGUUCAACAUCAUAUGACCUUGACAUUGUGUAAAGCAGACGCUUUGAUUGCCUUGAAUGACCACGACAAUGCAUCAGAUUCAUUACACAGGGCCAUUGAAGCACUUCUGGAAUGCAGUGGACGAUGGUCGGAGGUUUCGGAAGCUGAUAUCCCGACGACCUCCGAACCUGUCCCCAAACGCCGGAGAACGAAACCAGUUCCUGCCCUGGGUGGAAAUCCCUCCUGGUUCAGGCAUGUUGCAAAUUCUCCAGCCUCCUGACUGACCAGGGGAAGACAUCAGAUGCCCUUCACUACUCCAGGAUAGCCGUACAGACUCUCCCAGGAGACACAAGGGCAUGGUACACCUGCUGCACAGCUCUCCACCAGUCAGGGAGGGAGGAGGAAUCCUGCCGGGCGUGGCUGCAUCACAGGGAGGUGGGGCAACUCUCUGACGACAGCCACCUGCAGAGGGAGCUU